AUAUAUAUAUAUAUAUAUAUAUAUAUACUAAUGUUGUUGCAUGUCAAUUGCUAUAUCUCCUUGGAAUGGUUGCAAGUGCGACUACUAAGAUAUAUAAGAAAGAUAGAAAUUCAAGGGGCUUCAAUAUUGGAAACUCACACCAGAGACAGUGAAGCAGGCCUACUUUCAAGAAUUCAAAGUAGAAAUGUGUUUUUAAUUAAGUUGAACCAUCUCAUAAGGAAAGCCUUAAGGCUUAGCUGUGGGGGUUAAGUUUCACAUGGACAUUGUUGUUUCUAAAUGUAUUUUAUUUUAUAGUUUAAAUAGACGCAUUUCACAUGGGAUGAGGCGAUCAAGGAGGAUAUCUACAUGGCGUGGUUAUAGGUUGUUGUGCGGAGGUACAAAGAUUAUGUAUAUGACAUCAAGUAAGGAAUGGACGAUCCAGAAAAAGCGAGGCCCCCUUCUAUUCGCAAUGAUGAGUGGCCUGCUUGACUUGCCUACUGGGACUUUGGAGAAGGUGCAUGAUAUGUUUGCUCGGCAAAGCUAGCCUCUGGAUGGUGAAUUUGAUCCACCAGAGGUCGAUAUGAGCAAAGUCUACGUAGAGGCUGUAGGUGGGCUUGACAAAAAGAAGAGGAUAUUUGGUAUUGGUAGACUUGUAGCCAGCUUCAUGGGUGAAGAGUCGAGUGGAACAUCUCACUUCCACGAGCCUUCUAUUGAUCUACAUUGACUCUUGGAGAUGGAUCAACAAUUGUAGGAGGCCCAGAGACAGAGAGAUUAGUUCAUGGCUCAAUUCGAGACAUAAAAAAAACUUAAAAAUUAUCCACUUGUUUUUUUUUUUGCUGUAAAUUCGAGUUUUUGAGCUACAAUUCAUAACCAAUAAUAUUUAUAGUUGUGGAUUCGAGUUUAAAAUUGAAUUCACAUCUAGAAAUAGUGUUAUCCGUGAA
This is a long non-coding RNA of Salvia miltiorrhiza (redroot sage), 920 nucleotides long. RefSeq lists it as uncharacterized. The record is from RefSeq and is a predicted model, not a curated record. Lineage: Eukaryota; Viridiplantae; Streptophyta; Magnoliopsida; Lamiales; Lamiaceae. The transcript is spliced from 2 exons.